This 273-nucleotide long non-coding RNA is filed under the name Olea europaea (common olive). RNAcentral's name for it is "long non-coding RNA (OEUR_LNC009566)". The record is from RNAcentral. Lineage: Eukaryota; Viridiplantae; Streptophyta; Magnoliopsida; Lamiales; Oleaceae.
GGAAAUCGAACUAUCCAUAAUCGAUCCCCAUAUUUUCAUAUUUCGACCUCGAAGUCGGGCUUGUCUCCCUUCUUGGAAUCCAUAAGAAUUUAUUUUUGCCUUCGAGAAAGGAGUUGCGACAAGUGCUGAUUUGUACCACCAUGGUUGACAUUGAGCAACAAUCAACAGGUAAGAAACCCCAAUCCCAAUGUUUUCUUCAAAGUUUGUCGGGCAGUAGUUAAAUUUUAUUGUCUAUUCUAUAACAUAUAUGUUUGUUUUUAUAUUACGAUCACG